Molecule: ribosomal RNA, 205 nt
Filed under: uncultured bacterium
Lineage: Bacteria
Description: partial 16S ribosomal RNA
Rfam family: Bacterial small subunit ribosomal RNA
Source: RNAcentral
CUCGUAGGCGGCCAACUAAGUCGGAUGUGAAAUCCCCAGGCUUAACCUGGGAACUGCAUCCGAUACUGGAUGGCUUGAAUCCGGGAGAGGGAUGCAGAAUUCCAGGUGUAGCGGUGAAAUGCGUAGAUAUCUGGAGGAAUACCGGUGGCGAAGGCGGCAUCCUGACCGGCAUUGACGCUGAUGAGCGAAAGCUAGGGAGCAAACG